RNAcentral lists this ribosomal RNA (478 nucleotides) under Lactobacillus sp. oral taxon 461. RNAcentral's name for it is "bacterial SSU rRNA". It matches the Rfam family "Bacterial small subunit ribosomal RNA", at positions 28 to 474 of the family's 1533-position model. Lineage: Bacteria; Bacillati; Bacillota; Bacilli; Lactobacillales; Lactobacillaceae. The record is from RNAcentral.
GACGAACGCGGCGGCGUGCCUAAUACAUGCAAGUCGAGCGAGCGGAACCAGCAGAUCUGCUUCGGCAGUGACGCUGGGAAAGCGAGCGGCGGAUGGGUGAGUAACACGUGGGGAACCUGCCCCAAAGUCUGGGAUACCACUUGGAAACAGGUGCUAAUACCGGAUAAGAAAGCAGAUCGCAUGAUCAGCUUUUAAAAGGCGGCGUAAGCUGUCGCUAUGGGAUGGCCCCGCGGUGCAUUAGCUAGUUGGUAGAGUAACGGCCUACCAAGGCAAUGAUGCAUAGCCGAGUUGAGAGACUGAUCGGUCACAUUGGGACUGAGACACGGCCCAAACUCCUACGGGAGGCAGCAGUAGGGAAUCUUCCACAAUGGACGCAAGUCUGAUGGAGCAACGCCGCGUGAGUGAAGAAGGUUUUCGGAUCGUAAAGCUCUGUUGUUGGUGAAGAAGGAUAGAGGUAGUAACUGGCCUUUAUUUGACG